UACGGAGGAGGCAAGCGUUAUCCGGAAUUAUUGGGCGUAAAGCGUCCGUAGGUGGCUGGUCAAGUCUGCUGUCAAAGGGCGGAGCUUAACCUCAUAAAGGCAGUGGAAACUGGCGUGCUAGAGUGCGGUAGAGGUUAGUGGAAUUCCCAGUGUAGCGGUGAAAUGCGUAGGUAUCAGGAGGAACACCGGUGGCGAAAGCGGCCUACUGGGCCAGCACUGACGCUGAGGGACGAAAGCGAGGGGAGCGAAAGGG
This 253-nucleotide ribosomal RNA is filed under the name uncultured bacterium. Its description in RNAcentral is "partial 16S ribosomal RNA". It matches the Rfam family "Bacterial small subunit ribosomal RNA", at positions 524 to 776 of the family's 1533-position model. The record is from RNAcentral.